UUUAGGGAGACCUACACCCCUCAAAUCUUGAAAGCAAAAUGCAAAUAGAGAUUGAGUUGGUCUAACCUAGGUCGGUCGCAGACAUUUGUAAAUUGUUGAAAGCUUUCAAACUAUGAUGAAGGUUCGAUAUGGGCUAUUAGCUCAGGUGGUUAGAGCGCACCCCUGAUAAGGGUGAGGUCCCUGGUUCGAGUCCAGGAUGGCCCACCUGAAAGUAAUUAGUAAUUGCUAAUUCGUAAUUCGUAAUUAACUACGAAUUAAGAAUUACGAAUUACGAAUUAUAAUCUGGGGGUUUAGCUCAGUUGGUAGAGCGCCUGCUUUGCAAGCAGGAUGUCAGCGGUUCGAGUCCGCUAACCUCCACCUGUGGCGAUUGGCAUUAAUAAAAAUUAGUGAGAGUUCAGCAACAUGACUUAAUUGAAGUCAGACUGCUGAGAGAUUCUCAGCCAGAACCUUGAAAACUGCAUAGUAACGCGAAAUAAGCAGGCAGACACAGAUAAUCUUUAGAGAUAUUUUUGUGAAUGCAAAUUGUGAAACACCAAAUGAAUUGAGU
This 547-nucleotide transfer RNA is filed under the name Nostoc sp. ATA3-4Q-CV27. RNAcentral's name for it is "16S-23S ribosomal RNA intergenic spacer". The stretch from base 285 to 357 matches the Rfam family "tRNA". The record is from RNAcentral. RNAcentral also lists the same sequence under 3 other names. Lineage: Bacteria; Bacillati; Cyanobacteriota; Cyanophyceae; Nostocales; Nostocaceae.